AGUGAACGCUGGCGGCAGGCCUAACACAUGCAAGUCGAACGGCAGCACAGUAAGAGCUUGCUCUUACGGGUGGCGAGUGGCGGACGGGUGAGGAAUACAUCGGAAUCUACUUUUUCGUGGGGGAUAACGUAGGGAAACUUACGCUAAUACCGCAUACGACCUACGGGUGAAAGCAGGGGAGCUUCGGACCUUGCGCGAUUGAAUGAGCCGAUGUCGGAUUAGCUAGUUGGCGGGGUAAAGGCACACCAAGGCGACGAUCCGUAGCUGGUCUGAGAGGAUGAUCGGCCACACUGGAACUGAGACACGGUCCAGACUCCUACGGGAGGCAGCAGUGGGGAAUAUUGGGCAAUGGGCGCAAGCCUGAUCCAGCCAUGCCGCGUGGGUGAAGAAGGCCUUCGGGUUGUAAAGCCCUUUUGUUGGGAAAGAAAAGCAGCAUGUUAAUACCCCGCUGUUCUGACGGUACCCAAAGAAUAAGCACCGGCUAACUUCGUG
Molecule: ribosomal RNA, 492 nt
Filed under: uncultured bacterium
Lineage: Bacteria
Description: partial 16S ribosomal RNA
Rfam family: Bacterial small subunit ribosomal RNA
Source: RNAcentral